UACGGGGGGGGCAAGCGUUGUUCGGAAUUACUGGGCGUAAAGGGCUCGUAGGCGGCCAACUAAGUCAGACGUGAAAUCCCUCGGCUUAACCGGGGAACUGCGUCUGAUACUGGAUGGCUCGAGUUUGGGAGAGGGAUGCGGAAUUCCAGGUGUAGCGGUGAAAUGCGUAGAUAUCUGGAGGAACACCGGUGGCGAAGGCGGCAGCCUGGACCAACACUGACGCUGAGGAGCGAAAGCCAGGGGAGCAAACGGG
This 253-nucleotide ribosomal RNA is filed under the name uncultured bacterium. Its description in RNAcentral is "partial 16S ribosomal RNA". It matches the Rfam family "Bacterial small subunit ribosomal RNA", at positions 524 to 776 of the family's 1533-position model. The record is from RNAcentral.